CGCAAUGAGAUGCGAACCUGUGUUCGUGAGCUCUUCUUAGAGGGACUGACUACGUUUAGUGGUCGGAAGUUUGAGGCAAUAACAGGUCUGUGAUGCCCUUAGAUGUUCUGGGCUGCACGCGCGCUACACUGACAGAGGCAGCGAGUAUACAACCUUGACCGGAAGGUCUGGGCAAUCUUUUUAAACUCUGUCGUGCUGGGGAUAGAGCAUUGCAAUUAUUGCUCUUCAACGAGGAAUUCCUAGUAAGCGCAUGUCAUCAGCAUGCGUUGAUUACGUCCCUGCCCUUUGUACACACCGCCCGUCGCUACUACCAUGUAAAUGGCAAAAUA
Molecule: ribosomal RNA, 329 nt
Filed under: uncultured fungus
Lineage: Eukaryota; Fungi
Description: SSU rRNA
Rfam family: Eukaryotic small subunit ribosomal RNA
Source: RNAcentral